Camellia sinensis is the source of this 388-nucleotide non-coding RNA. The record is from RefSeq and is a predicted model, not a curated record. NCBI's taxonomy places the organism in Eukaryota, Viridiplantae, Streptophyta, Magnoliopsida, Ericales, Theaceae.
CGCACACCGCCACCGCCACCGCCGCAAAUCACCACCGCCACUGUCGCAAAUCACAGAGAAUAUCAGUUGAACCAGGUGGCUAUCUUGUUCGCAUCGUUUGAAGAUUGAAGGCCGAUCCUAGAAAUUUCCUAUCCGCUGAGUCCUAUUUGAACGAAAUCAUCAGUCACUGCUCUCACUGUGGCCUAUUAAGAGAUGAAAUCACCGGAGGUACAACGCCUACACCAGCUCCCCGCUUCAUCACCGUCGUCGCGGUGCUACAGAGAUGAAGAUACAGGUUUGCAACCUGGAAUCCAAGAAGGGGCAGCUGAUUAGGAUGAAAAUUGGGACAAGUUUGAAGAUGAAGGGAAUCUGAAGCCAAGAUGUGCAAGUUGUAGUUGUAUUAUAAUUU